Molecule: ribosomal RNA, 253 nt
Filed under: uncultured bacterium
Lineage: Bacteria
Description: partial 16S ribosomal RNA
Rfam family: Bacterial small subunit ribosomal RNA
Source: RNAcentral
UACGUAGGCAGCAAGCGUUGUUCGGAAUUACUGGGCGUAAAGCGUGUGUAGGCGGUUGGGUAAGUCUGGUGUGAAAUCUCCCGGCUCAACUGGGAGGGUGCGCCGGAAACUGCCUGGCUAGAGUGCGGAAGAGGAGAGUGGAAUUCCUGGUGUAGCGGUGAAAUGCGCAGAUAUCAGGAAGAACACCCGUGGCGAAGGCGGCUCUCUGGGACGGUACUGACGCUGAGACGCGAAAGCGUGGGGAGCGAACAGG